UGAUGAAGCAUCAUCAUUUCUUGUUAAGUCAAUUAUGUGCUCAUGAUCAUUAUGGCUAUUCAUCCGUUCCAUCAACAAAGGGUAUUGGUCACUUUGGGUGUUGCUAUUUGGUUUAGAAGAAGUGUCAUCCAUCUAAGUUUGACAACCAACUUAGAAGGCAUGAAAUCAUCAGCUGGAAAUAUAAAAGUUUCCAAAUUUUUGCAAAUUUUCUUCAAAUCAUUACUGAAUU
Molecule: unclassified non-coding RNA, 229 nt
Filed under: Hevea brasiliensis (rubber tree)
Lineage: Eukaryota; Viridiplantae; Streptophyta; Magnoliopsida; Malpighiales; Euphorbiaceae
Source: RNAcentral